GCUACUGACUCCUCUCCAGUCCCUGUAGAUAGAUUUCCUACUUUCAACUCUUUCAGAGCCUGGACCUUACUGGCUCCCCCCCACCCCACCCCAGCUGUGGAUUCCAGGGAUUGAACUCAGAUCAUCAUGUUUGACUGGCAGGUGCUUUCACCCCCUCAAGCCAUUUUGUCAGUCCUGGUUCCGUUUAUACAACCAAGGUAUAUCUGGUGUGCGAGCCUGGUGCCCAGAGGCCAGAUGGAGCCAUGGCUAGCCUAGAACUGGAAUUGCAGAUGAUUCUGAGUUGCCAUAUGAGUUCCAGGAACCAAACCCUGGCUCUCUGAGAAAGCAAUGUUCCUGACUGCUGAACCAUUUCUCCUGUUCCCAUGAUUUAUUCACGGCAUAUCUGUGGACUCUUUUAGCCCAAAUCUUCAUGUAACUCCACGGCAGAGGUUUCCUUCAGUCCCAGCCUUAGCUGGUUGCCCCACCCACUCAUGGCCAGGUUUGGGAAGACAUCUAUUCAAUGACUGAAUUGUAUAAAUAACAGCAGAACGUUUAAUCAAAAAGCAUUGGUUUUGAAAUGCUGGAAGGAUCGUGGUAAAUCAUCAAAGAAUGACUUUGAUGGAUGAGAGUUAAGAGCAAAGGAGGGAGGCUGGUCCCCUCCUGGGUCUGUCUGCCCAUUGGUUUAUUCGGUUUCUUUGGUUAAAUGAAGUCAUCUUUUACUACUUCGGGAACACUCUUUGUAAACCUAAUGUGUAAUACAACUGCUCACUUCCGGCUCCCACGUAACACUUUUCGUAAAUGAGGCCCAUUCAAAGGCAAUGAAAAGGCAACUUUGCCUAGUUUUCAAUACAAACUCUAAUCUCCGC
RNAcentral lists this long non-coding RNA (845 nucleotides) under Rattus norvegicus (Norway rat). Its description in RNAcentral is "long non-coding RNA NONRATT016779". The record is from RNAcentral. Lineage: Eukaryota; Metazoa; Chordata; Mammalia; Rodentia; Muridae.